GCAGAACCGGUGAAGAUUUGGGGACGGGACGAGGCGGCCGCGACCCUGCCGGAGUCCGGGGGGGACCUCCAGAAACCCGGGGGGUCCCUGACUCUCGUGUGCCGCGCAUCCGGAUUUAGUAUUGGGAGUUUUGGGAUGGGCUGGAUGCGCCAGAGCCCCGGGAAGGCGCUGGAAUGGGUCGCAGGGAUCAACAGCGGUGGCGGCACCUGGUACACGCCGUCGGUGCGGGGCCGGUUCACGAUCUCCAGGGACAACGGGCAGAGCUCGGUGACGCUGACCAUGACCAACCUCAAGGACGACGAUUCCGGCUCCUAUUUCUGUGCCAAAUCUGCUGGUACUGGUGGUGCUGGUGCUGCUGGUUACGUUAAUGGUUUUGGCCCCGUCCCCGUCACUCCGUUCCCGUCUGUCCCCAAAGGUCCCCAGACCCCUCCCCAAAAUCCCAACCCUUGA
Cinclus cinclus is the source of this 450-nucleotide non-coding RNA. Lineage: Eukaryota; Metazoa; Chordata; Aves; Passeriformes; Cinclidae. The record is from the annotation of a RefSeq genome assembly.